This is a long non-coding RNA of Triticum aestivum (bread wheat), 1864 nucleotides long. RefSeq lists it as uncharacterized. The record is from RefSeq and is a predicted model, not a curated record. The transcript has 4 exons. Lineage: Eukaryota; Viridiplantae; Streptophyta; Magnoliopsida; Poales; Poaceae.
CUCGACCCCACCAGAAAAUGUUGUCCCACAUCGCCUGGUCAGAUAUUCCUUUCUCAAAAGCACCGGUCGUCAAGGGCCUGACCCAGAUCCAUACGCCCCCUGCUGCUCCUCUCUCCAGUUCGUCUUCCUCCUUCGGAUCGAGACCUUGGAGCCUGCUCCAUGGAUCUGUUCAUGGAGCCGAAUGGCGACUCGGAACAGAGGAUUAGCCAUGGGCAGACGGGGGAUACUGGUGCUGCGCGGCCUAUAGAGUCCCAGGCUUCUAUUAGCGUCGCCGAGGGUGACAUUCGCCGUGUCGGAGACCUCUGUAGCGGCGGCGGAAAUGCGUGAUUUGUUGGCGAGGACCCGCUCUUGCAAGUGUGUUCGGAGGCUACGAGCGGAUGGACACACAUAGUAAGGAUCAGGAAAGCCCCUCCGGAGCGCGAGUUCAACCAUAACCGGAAAAGUGCGCUUGAACUAUCCAUGAGGGCGUUCACAACGAAACAAGAUGGCAAUGUUGUCAACCCAGCAGUCGGCACCUCGUUUGAUUCAUUGGAUGAAGCAUAUCAUUCUAAAAUUUGUAUUCGUGGGAGGUUGGAUUUGGGAUAAGGUAUUCGAAAAGCAGGCUAAAUGUGGAGAGGGUGAAGUGCAUGCAGGAGAUAGUCUGUGGAUGUGCGGUGCAUUUUUUAUUUUGGUAUCAAUUAAGAAAUUAGCAAAUUGUAUAAAACCCAAAUGUUCUCGACUGACAAAUCACUGUAUGUCCAUUGGCAGGGUAAACCAGAGAGGGAGAAUACAAGAUCAACACGGUGCGACUGUGCUGCCAGGAUCAGGCUACCGAGGUUGGAUGACAAUGGAUGGUAUAUUUCAGAGCACCGGACGCUCUGUCAAGCACUUGUGGCGAGAAGAUGCACUGGCUUUCACACAAGCUGAUUGACCAGUACACUAAGGAUCUUGUUAAACAACUGAGAGAAAACAAUGUCAGUCUUGAAAAGGUUUUUAGCAUAGUUGGCAGUUUUUUUUGGAUCAGUUGACAAUGUGCCAUUUACAAAAAGGUCACUCAAGAGGCUGUGCUGCAAGUUGAACAAAGAGCAGUCUGAUUCAGAUGCCCGAAAAACAAUGGGCAUAGUUGCAGAGCUGAUGGCAAAUGAUCCAGAAUUCAACUAUAAUGUCCAGGUUGAUGAUGAGAGCAGGAUAAAAACACUUAUGUGGGUUAAUGGUUGCAGUGUGGACCAACAUAGGUGUUUCGGAGAUGUUGUACCAUUUGCUACCACAUACAGGAAAACCUAUAUGAUAUGCCAUUCGGGCUUUUUGUAGGAGUCAACAAUCACUUUCAGAGCAUAAUAUUUGGAGAUGUCAUGCUGAGGGAUGAGAAGGAGGACACAUUCAAGUGGGUUUUCCGUGAAUUCAUCAGGAUGGUUGGUGGCAAACACCUGCAAACAAUUUUAACCGACCAGGCGCGAUCCAUGUAGUUGGCUAUAGAAGCAGAGAUGCCUAAUACAACUCACAGGUGGUGUAAAUGGCAUGUGCUGAAGAAGGAAAAAGAAUCAAUGGGGCUUUGUGGAGCAAGAAAUAUAAUUUCAAGAGUGAAUUUCAGAAGUCGGUUCAUCACAUGGUCACAGAACAAGAAUUUGAGGAUGGGUGGUCUGCAAUGCUUGAUAAAUAUUCACUGAGAAAGUAUCCGUCGACCCAUUGCGUAUCUUGUCAUUGUUGGACCUAGCCAACCAUUUACACUGUUUAGCUGGUCGAUUUAAAAAAACACUAUUUAGCUGGUCAAAGCAGGGAGUCCGGCUAAUGUAAUUUGUAUGCUGUAAUUACUAUGGCAGAAGUGCAUGGAUACAAGGUUCACAAUGAACAGUGCAUGAUUAAAUAAAUUUUUUUGUUAGGCUAA